CGGAGUAAAGCUUAAGUAUAAAUAAGCAUUUCAUUUACACUGAAAAGAUAUCUGUGUUAUUCAGUAUACUUUGA
RNAcentral lists this transfer RNA (74 nucleotides) under Pedetontus zhejiangensis. Its description in RNAcentral is "tRNA-Val". The record is from RNAcentral. Lineage: Eukaryota; Metazoa; Arthropoda; Insecta; Archaeognatha; Machilidae.